GAUGAAGAACGUAGCGAAAUGCGAUAAGUAAUGUGAAUUGCAGAAUUCCGUGAAUCAUCGAAUAUUUGAACGCACAUUGCGCCCCCUGGUAUUCCGGGGGGCAUGCCUGUCCGAGCGUCAUUGCAACCUUCAAGCGCGGCUUGUGUGUUGGGUCUCGUCCCCCGUGGACGGGCCCGAAAGGCAGUGGCGGCGUCCCGACAUGGUGCCCGAGCGUAUGGGAAUCCUCUUCCGCUCGAAUCGGCCCAUGCGGCGCUGGUCGUAACCAAAUUUUUUACCGGUUGACCUCGGAUCAGGUAGGGAUACCCGCUGAACUUAAGCAUAUCAAUAAGCGGAGGA
RNAcentral lists this unclassified non-coding RNA (336 nucleotides) under soil metagenome. Its description in RNAcentral is "partial contains 5.8S ribosomal RNA, internal transcribed spacer 2, and large subunit ribosomal RNA". The stretch from base 1 to 120 matches the Rfam family "5.8S ribosomal RNA", at positions 35 to 154 of the family's 154-position model. The record is from RNAcentral.